This is a non-coding RNA of Podarcis lilfordi (Lilford's wall lizard), 77 nucleotides long. The record is from the annotation of a GenBank genome assembly. Lineage: Eukaryota; Metazoa; Chordata; Lepidosauria; Squamata; Lacertidae.
GCCUUUGAUGAACUGCAGUGGGUCAGCACAUCUGGCUGUUAACCAGAAGGUCAUUGGUUUGAGCCCACCCAGGGACA